RNAcentral lists this ribosomal RNA (245 nucleotides) under uncultured archaeon. Its description in RNAcentral is "partial 16S ribosomal RNA". It matches the Rfam family "Archaeal small subunit ribosomal RNA", at positions 474 to 725 of the family's 1478-position model. The record is from RNAcentral.
UACCAGCUCCUCGAGUGGUCGGGACGAUUAUUGGGCCUAAAGCACCCGUAGCCGGUUCCGUAAGUCCUCUGUUAAAUCCAGUCGCUCAACGGCUGGUCUGCAGAGGAUACUGCAGGACUAGGAGGCGGGAGAGGCGGACGGUACUCCGCGUGUAGGGGUAAAAUCCUUUGAUCCGCGGAAGACCACCAGAUAGUCAGCGGUCAACCCACUGACUUGGUGAAUGGCGAAGGCGGUCCGCCAGAACG